This 2927-nucleotide ribosomal RNA is filed under the name Salmonella enterica subsp. enterica serovar Bareilly str. CFSAN000669. Its description in RNAcentral is "23S ribosomal RNA". It matches the Rfam family "Bacterial large subunit ribosomal RNA". Lineage: Bacteria; Pseudomonadati; Pseudomonadota; Gammaproteobacteria; Enterobacterales; Enterobacteriaceae. The record is from RNAcentral.
GGGUUGUGAGGUUAAGCGACUAAGCGUACACGGUGGAUGCCCUGGCAGUCAGAGGCGAUGAAGGGCGUGCUAAUCUGCGAUAAGCGCCGGUAAGGUGAUAUGAACCGUUAUAACCGGCGAUACCCGAAUGGGGAAACCCAGUGUGAUUCGUCACACUAUCAUUAACUGAAUCCAUAGGUUAAUGAGGCGAACCGGGGGAACUGAAACAUCUAAGUACCCCGAGGAAAAGAAAUCAACCGAGAUUCCCCCAGUAGCGGCGAGCGAACGGGGAGGAGCCCAGAGCCUGAAUCAGCAUGUGUGUUAGUGGAAGCGUCUGGAAAGGCGCGCGAUACAGGGUGACAGCCCCGUACACAAAAGCGCAUGUGCUGUGAGCUCGAUGAGUAGGGCGGGACACGUGGUAUCCUGUCUGAAUAUGGGGGGACCAUCCUCCAAGGCUAAAUACUCCUGACUGACCGAUAGUGAACCAGUACCGUGAGGGAAAGGCGAAAAGAACCCCGGCGAGGGGAGUGAAAAAGAACCUGAAACCGUGUACGUACAAGCAGUGGGAGCACAGGUUUACCUGUGUGACUGCGUACCUUUUGUAUAAUGGGUCAGCGACUUAUAUUCUGUAGCAAGGUUAACCGUAUAGGGGAGCCGUAGGGAAACCGAGUCUUAACCGGGCGUUAAGUUGCAGGGUAUAGACCCGAAACCCGGUGAUCUAGCCAUGGGCAGGUUGAAGGUUGGGUAACACUAACUGGAGGACCGAACCGACUAAUGUUGAAAAAUUAGCGGAUGACCUGUGGCUGGGGGUGAAAGGCCAAUCAAACCGGGAGAUAGCUGGUUCUCCCCGAAAGCUAUUUAGGUAGCGCCUCGUGAAUUCAUCUCCGGGGGUAGAGCACUGUUUCGGCUAGGGGGCCAUCCCGGCUUACCAACCCGAUGCAAACUGCGAAUACCGGAGAAUGUUAUCACGGGAGACACACGGCGGGUGCUAACCGCCGUCGUGAAGAAGGGAACAACCCCAGACGCCAGCUAAGGGCCCAAAGUCAUGGGUAAGGGGGGAACGAUGUGGGAAGGCACAGACAGCCAGGAUGUUGGCUUAGGAGCAGCCAACAUUUAAAGAAAGGGUAAUAGCCCACUGGUCGGUUCGGGCUUCGCGGGAGAUGUAACGGGGCUAAACCAUGCACCGAAGCUGCGGCAGCGACGUUUAUGCGUUGUUGGGUAGGGGAGCGUUCUGUAAGCCUGCGAAGGUGGCCUGUGAGGGUUGCUGGAGGUAUCAGAAGUGCGAAUGCUGACAUAAGUAACGAUAAAGCGGGUGAAAAGCCCGCUCGCCGGAAGACCAAGGGUUCCUGUCCAACGUUAAUCGGGGCAGGGUGAGUCGACCCCUAAGGCGAGGCCGAAAGGCGUAGUCGAUGGGAAACGGGUUAAUAUUCCCGUACUUGGUGUUACUGCGAAGGGGGGACGGAGAAGGCUAUGUUGGCCGGGCGACGGUUGUCCCGGUUUAAGCGUGUAGGCUGGUUUUCCAGGCAAAUCCGGAAAAUCAAGGCUGAGGCGUGACGACGAGGCACUACGGUGCUGAAGCAACAAAUGCCCUGCUUCCAGGAAAAGCCUCUAAGCAUCAGGUAACAUCAAAUCGUACCCCAAACCGACACAGGUGGUCAGGUAGAGAAUACCAAGGCGCUUGAGAGAACUCGGGUGAAGGAACUAGGCAAAAUGGUGCCGUAACUUCGGGAGAAGGCACGCUGACACGUAGGUGAAGUGAUUUACUCAUGGAGCUGAAGUCAGUCGAAGAUACCAGCUGGCUGCAACUGUUUAUUAAAAACACAGCACUGUGCAAACACGAAAGUGGACGUAUACGGUGUGACGCCUGCCCGGUGCCGGAAGGUUAAUUGAUGGGGUCAGCGCAAGCGAAGCUCCUGAUCGAAGCCCCGGUAAACGGCGGCCGUAACUAUAACGGUCCUAAGGUAGCGAAAUUCCUUGUCGGGUAAGUUCCGACCUGCACGAAUGGCGUAAUGAUGGCCAGGCUGUCUCCACCCGAGACUCAGUGAAAUUGAACUCGCUGUGAAGAUGCAGUGUACCCGCGGCAAGACGGAAAGACCCCGUGAACCUUUACUAUAGCUUGACACUGAACAUUGAGCCUUGAUGUGUAGGAUAGGUGGGAGGCUUUGAAGCGUGGACGCCAGUCUGCGUGGAGCCGACCUUGAAAUACCACCCUUUAAUGUUUGAUGUUCUAACGUGGACCCGUAAUCCGGGUUGCGGACAGUGUCUGGUGGGUAGUUUGACUGGGGCGGUCUCCUCCUAAAGAGUAACGGAGGAGCACGAAGGUUGGCUAAUCCUGGUCGGACAUCAGGAGGUUAGUGCAAUGGCAUAAGCCAGCUUGACUGCGAGCGUGACGGCGCGAGCAGGUGCGAAAGCAGGUCAUAGUGAUCCGGUGGUUCUGAAUGGAAGGGCCAUCGCUCAACGGAUAAAAGGUACUCCGGGGAUAACAGGCUGAUACCGCCCAAGAGUUCAUAUCGACGGCGGUGUUUGGCACCUCGAUGUCGGCUCAUCACAUCCUGGGGCUGAAGUAGGUCCCAAGGGUAUGGCUGUUCGCCAUUUAAAGUGGUACGCGAGCUGGGUUUAGAACGUCGUGAGACAGUUCGGUCCCUAUCUGCCGUGGGCGCUGGAGAACUGAGGGGGGCUGCUCCUAGUACGAGAGGACCGGAGUGGACGCAUCACUGGUGUUCGGGUUGUCAUGCCAAUGGCACUGCCCGGUAGCUAAAUGCGGAAGAGAUAAGUGCUGAAAGCAUCUAAGCACGAAACUUGCCCCGAGAUGAGUUCUCCCUGAGACUUAGAGUCUCCUGAAGGAACGUUGAAGACGACGACGUUGAUAGGCCGGGUGUGUAAGCGCAGCGAUGCGUUGAGCUAACCGGUACUAAUGAACCGUGAGGCUUAACCUUACAACGCCGAAG